Molecule: non-coding RNA, 79 nt
Filed under: Climacostomum virens
Lineage: Eukaryota; Ciliophora; Heterotrichea; Heterotrichida; Climacostomidae
Source: RNAcentral
GUACAUGGAGCAGCAUGCCGUGGCACGCCUGAUUGGCGCUCCUCCUGGCUACGUCGGUCAUGAGGAAGGCGGUCAGCUG